This 433-nucleotide ribosomal RNA is filed under the name uncultured bacterium. RNAcentral's name for it is "partial 16S ribosomal RNA". It matches the Rfam family "Bacterial small subunit ribosomal RNA", at positions 29 to 507 of the family's 1533-position model. The record is from RNAcentral.
AACGAACGCUGGCGGCAGGCCUAACACAUGCAAGUCGAGCGCACCCUUCGGGGUGAGCGGCGGACGGGUGAGUAACGCGUGGGAACGUGCCCUUCUCUGCGGAAUAGCCUCGGGAAACUGAGAGUAAUACCGCAUACGCCCUUUGGGGGAAAGAUUUAUCGGAGAAGGAUCGGCCCGCGUUGGAUUAGGUAGUUGGUGGGGUAAUGGCCCACCAAGCCGACGAUCCAUAGCUGGUUUGAGAGGAUGAACAGCCACACUGGGACUGAGACACGGCCCAGACUCCUACGGGAGGCAGCAGUGGGGAAUCUUAGACAAUGGGGGCAACCCUGAUCUAGCCAUGCCGCGUGAGUGAUGAAGGCCUUAGGGUUGUAAAGCUCUUUCAGCUGGGAAGAUAAUGACGGUACCAGCAGAAGAAGCCCCGGCUAACUCCGUG